UGGGGAUGAGCUAAAGGUUAAAUAUAAGAAAUAAGUAUAAAGUAAAAGUUUCCCUCAAUGGGUGAUUCCGCUUUCGCGGUCUACAUCUUCUCUAAUAAUGAUUCAAUCUCCCUUGGUAAGAAGGGGAAAAAUCUAUCCCAGUGAAGGGAUGAAGGUCCAAAAAUCUCUGCAGGUCCUCCGCCGCAGCUCCUCAA
Melanotaenia boesemani (Boeseman's rainbowfish) is the source of this 194-nucleotide long non-coding RNA. RefSeq lists it as uncharacterized. The record is from RefSeq and is a predicted model, not a curated record. The transcript has 4 exons. NCBI's taxonomy places the organism in Eukaryota, Metazoa, Chordata, Actinopteri, Atheriniformes, Melanotaeniidae.